GAUGAACGCUGGCGGCGUGCCUAAUACAUGCAAGUCGAGCGAACAGAUGAGGAGCUUGCUCCUCUGACGUUAGCGGCGGACGGGUGAGUAACACGUGGAUAACCUACCUAUAAGACUGGGAUAACUUCGGGAAACCGGCGCUAAUACCGGAUAAUAUAUUGAACCGCAUGGUUCAAUAGUGAAAGACGGUUUUGCUGUCACUUAUAGCUGGAUCCGCGCCGCAUUAGCUAGUUGGUAAGGUAACGGCUUACCAAGGCAACGAUGCGUAGCCGACCUGAGAGGGUGAUCGGCCACACUGGAACGGAGACACGGUCCAGACUCCUACGGGAGGCAGCAGUAGGGAAUCGUCCGCAAUGGGCGAAAGCCUGACGGAGCAACGCCGCGUGAGUGAUGAAGGUCUUCGGAUCGUAAAACUCUGUUAUUAGGGAAGAACAAAUGUGUAAGUAACUAUGCACGUCUUGACGGUACCUAAUCAGAAAGCCACGGCUAACUACGUG
Molecule: ribosomal RNA, 497 nt
Filed under: uncultured bacterium
Lineage: Bacteria
Description: partial 16S ribosomal RNA
Rfam family: Bacterial small subunit ribosomal RNA
Source: RNAcentral